UACGUAGGGGGCUAGCGUUGUCCGGAUUUAUUGGGCGUAAAGCGCGUGUAGGCGGCCAGAUAGGUCUGCUGUGAAAACUCGAGGCUCAACCUCGAGCUGUCGGCGGAAACCAUCCGGCUAGAGUCCGGAAGAGGAGAGUGGAAUUCCCGGUGUAGCGGUGAAAUGCGCAGAUAUCGGGAAGAACACCGGUGGCGAAGGCGGCAUCCUGGACCGACACUGACACUGAGGAGCGAAAGCCAGGGGAGCAAACGGG
RNAcentral lists this ribosomal RNA (253 nucleotides) under uncultured bacterium. RNAcentral describes it as "partial 16S ribosomal RNA". It matches the Rfam family "Bacterial small subunit ribosomal RNA", at positions 524 to 776 of the family's 1533-position model. The record is from RNAcentral.